RNAcentral lists this ribosomal RNA (460 nucleotides) under uncultured bacterium. Its description in RNAcentral is "partial 16S ribosomal RNA". It matches the Rfam family "Bacterial small subunit ribosomal RNA", at positions 338 to 795 of the family's 1533-position model. The record is from RNAcentral.
CCUACGGGAGGCAGCAGUGAGGAAUAUUGGUCAAUGGGCUUACGCCUGAACCAGCCAAGUCGCGUGAGGGAAGACUGCCCUAUGGGUUGUAAACCUCUUUUGUCAGGGAGCAACGCCGGCUACGUGUAGCCGGACUGAGAGGACCUGAAGGAAAAGCAUCGGCUAACUCCGUGCCAGCAGCCGCGGUAAUACGGGGGAUGCGAGCGUUCUCCGGAUUUAUUGGGGUUAAGGGGUACGUAGGCGGCAUGCCAAGUCUGCGGUAAAAUCGCGGGGCUCAACCGCGCUCCGCCGUUGACACUGGCGUUCUUGAGUGGGCGAGAAGUAUGCGGAAUGUGUGGUGGAGCGGUGAAAUGCAUAGAGAUCACGUAGAACUCCGAUUGCGAAGGUAGCAUACCGGCGCCCAACUGACGCUGAAGCACGAAAGCGUGGGUAUCGAACAGGAGUAGAUACCCUUGUAGUC